AGCAUUUACUGCCUCGACCUUAUUUUUAUCUACCGACAUUAAAAAAUUUGAAACGCGCUCUAUUUGUGAGACUUUAAAAAAUUUACCCACACCUCUGUAAAAGCAUACCUAAGGGUCUCUAUUAUUAUUAUUAUUAUUGUGGAUUACUACUCAUAAAAGCUUUGUAUAGUGUAGUGGGAGAGAGAGAGGCAUAAAUACAUGCUAACAACAUGGCAAACGGUGCCGCCGGAGUAGGUGCAAUUGCAGGUGACAGCAUUUUUUUUCAGAUCAACAAACCAUCCCCCUCUUCCACUGCAUGGAUCUACACUUAAAUUCCAGUCCGUCUUCCCUAGCUUGUCGGCUAUGUCUCGCAAAGCUUUCACUGCACCAAAAUGAGACAAUUAAGGAAAUUUUGAGUUAAGGAAAUUUGGUGCAUACAAGAAAAUACAAAGAAAUAAAGAUUAUGCACAAUAGAACAAAGGAGCUAGCCUUCUUACAAUCUUUACCAUCAAUUUUUUUUAUGUGUAAAAUAACAAGUAUAAUAUACAUCGCUGUGAAUUAAAGAUUCUGGAGUAAAGCUCGUUAUGUUCUCCAGCCUAAGUAUAUAUACUUUUUAUUUUAUCUAUAAAACUUCCCUCCUUUCGUCGAGGUUAAAAAAAUGGCAAUAGUAACUGCAAAAACUUCUUUUAUUUGCCUCUAGCUAGCUAGCAUACCUUCAUCUUCCGGCAAGGUGGCUCCAGAAGCAAGAGUUAUGAGGGCAAAGGCAGCAAGUGAAGGAAAAAGAAGAUGAUGAAGAAACAUUUUUUUUUCCCCCUCAAAAAAAUCAGCUGGCUGCUUCAAUUCGAGAGUGAAAAAUGAUUAAUUUGGUGAAUUAGUUGCAAAAUUUAUGAUUUAGGUAUCAGGAAGAUGGGAGUUGAUUUUGGAGGCUGCAGGAAAAAAAGGAUGGAGUCUUUUUUGAAUGGAAAUGUUAUGGAGGCUUCAGUUGCUCAUUAAUGAAGGGCCAGAGCGAGAAGAGAGUAGGGCCGGUAGAAGAUUGGUCCAUAUGCCAUUUCAUCAAAUCAUUUUGUAAUUAUUGAUGGUUUUAUACUUUUUUGGUUGCAACUUGUGUAUGAAAUUUAAAGUGAAAAUGAGACGAGACUACUUUGAUAAAUAAUGAAUUAUUAUUAAGGAUCCAGCUAUGGUGCCACAGUUGUAUGGUACCACAGCUGGAUCCAACCAUUAGAUCUAGCUCUGGUGAUAACUGUAGGCUAGAUCCAAUGGUUGGAUCCAUCUGUGGUACCAUACAACAGUGGUACCACAGAUUUGUCCUAUUAUUAAAUGAAAAAUGGUAAAGUGGUUAGGCCGAUAAACCACUGACAAAAUGAAAUAUAACACCAUAUAACUUUUAUAGUAUUAUUUGAUUGUUUUAUUUUUUUAUUUUUCUCUAACAAGGCAUGAAUGUUAUAAUUUAUACUAUUAUUAGUCUUUUUGUUCAAAUAUCAAUAUUCUAAAAGUACAUUUAUAUAUUUUUGUAUUUAAUAACCCAUACCAUUACAAAUAUUAAAAAUACAUCCUAUUUAAUGCCAACAAGUCCUGCCGUUCAGACUUCGCAAAUGAAUCCAUCUUGGCGGCUUAGUACAGUUUCGUCAAUCUCACCUUUUCACUCUCAAUUUUUGGACUUUUUUCUCCUUGUUUUGUCCAUGUUUGUGCUGACAAAGGACAGCAAUUUGGAUUUGGAUCUCCUGUUUGUGUGACGUCUUCAAAUUUCAUGUUCAAUAAAUUCGGAGCCAUUCUUUUUUUUUUUUGGUUGAAAAUUUUUCAAAAACACCAACCGUCCGUUUAAUUUAGCUUGACAUGGAUAUAAUAAUAUACUAUUUAUAUAAUCUUCUAGAAAGGAAAAAAAAAAUGUCUCCCCUUAAUUAAGUGCGUGUUUGGUAUUACUUAUCUAAUGAUUAUAAAUACUUAUUUUAUCCUAUUAGUUCUUAUCAUAAUUUUUGUUAUUGUUUAGUUGUUUUUUAGUAGAGUUUUUGAAACUUAAAUAAGUUAUUUUGUCUCAACUAGCAAAAGUUCAAAAUUUGAAAUUUUAGGAGUAGAGGUUAAAAAGUUCUUUUUUAUAUGUUAAAAUAUCCAAAAUAUCUUCUACUUAUUUGAUAAUCUUGUUUUAUUCUUUUCAUAAUAUAACUUUAAAAAGCUGGCCUAUCAAAGUAAUUUCAUAAAUUUUGAAUAAAAUCUCUCACUGACAACUAAAGAACUAAAAUUUAUUAGGUAAAAUCUCUAUUUGUAAAAACUCUACUAACAAAAACUUUUCUUAAAAAACUGUACCAAAUGGAGUCUAAGUGUAUGGUGGUAAUAUUUUCACUCUUUAAAUUGCACCACCUGCCCACUUUAAAAAAUUAAUUAUAAAAACUUCACAUUGUAUUUUAAUAAUUUUAAAGUAAGAAUAAUUUAAAUAACUAACCAGCUAAAUUCUCUCAACAUGAUUAUUAAGCAUUAAUUAAGUUAAUGAAAUGUAUUUGUAAUGUGGUAUACUCAUAAAAUUUAUUGGCUAUGAAAUUUAUGCUACUUACCUCAGUAAAUGUAUUGGUUAUGAGAUGGAUCUAAUUAAUUAACUAUUAAAACUUUUUCUCAAUUUUGAAGAUAAAAAAUAAUGUGAAAUUUUAUAAAUAAUUUCUUAAAAUGGUUGAUUUACAUAAAUUAUAAGUGAAAAUAUCCCCACCCUUAAGUGCAAUCUCUUUUUUUUUUUUUUCCUUUUUUAAGGAAAAAUAAUACCAACACCCUCAUGAUUUAAAUAACUGAUCACAAAGACUCCUUAUUUUUAAAAAUUGUCAUACAAACCUCUUUUUAAAGAUACACAGUUCCUUUUAUAUUUAGAAAUGGUCACACAAAUCCUAGGACAUAUUUCCAUUUAAAAAUUAUCAUAGACUCACAUAUACCCUAAAUGUUUGUACAAAAGGGAGCCGAUGUGUCUCAAUGGGGGUUUGUGUGAUCAUUUCUAAAAAUAUGAGGUUUUUGUGAUUAUUUCAUCAAACCAUGAGGGUUUUGAUGUUCCUUUCCCAUUUUUAAGGGGUGGUAAUAUUUCACCCUACACUUUUUGUUAACCCACUCCACUUCUAGAAAAUAACUAUAAAAAAACCAUACAAUUUUUAAAAGUUUCAAAUAAAGAAGAAUUUUAGAAAUUAAGUAACUAAAUCUAUCUUAAUUUAUAUUUUUGUGACUUAUAUAAUUUUUUUUUGUGGCUUAGAUUUUUUUUUAUUGUAUUUGACUACUAAAAUUUCUUUAGCCUAAAUCUAAAUUGAUUAUUUUACUAUUAUAAGGUAGAAGAACCAAAAAUUUACUUUAAACUCGAUUUUUUUUUAAUUUUAUACAAAAUUUAUUAUUUCUAAAUGUUGUGACGGAGGGGGAUAGCAGAAGCGGAUUGAUAAUAUAGAUAAAUAUUAGAUAUCGUUCUAGUACUAGAUUAAGCCAAUACGAUUAGAUUACAUUCUAAUCAAAUUGUGAUUAGAUCUCGUUCUAUUCCAAACAAAUCAAUGAGAUUUUAACAACGCUUUAAGCGAGAUCUGAUGACACUCUAAUCCAAACAACUUUACAAGAGAGAUUUUGAUAGUUAAUCCCAAAGGAUUUUUUAAUUAAUUAAAAGGUAAUGAAAACAAUAACAAGACUUCGGUAUUUAUAACAGAGUAAACCUACUUCCCCGUGUUGACAUGAAAUGGAAAUUAAAUAACAAUUAUAAUAAAAAUAAAAUAUUAGAACACAUAUUAUAAUUGACUCUAAUUAAAAAUGAAAAAUAUCAAAAGAUCUAAAAUAGCAAAAUGCUAGAAUCCUAAAAUAAUGUCCUACAUCAUUUUCCUCUCUUAAAAAGAAACUUAUCCUCAAGUUUUCCUAGACGACGAAAAUUGAAGUGAAGUAGCAAUGCAUCUUAGAGCUUGAACUUAAAGCCUUUUUAAUCAAUUGUUCUUGAAACUCAAUACUCUCCAUGCUUCAUCUUUUUCUUGCACUUAUAACUCUUCAAGAAAAUGAAGUCUUGAAUGAAUGAAUCACUUCCAAGCCUCUCAAGUCUUUUGUUGAAUGUCGCUCAAUGUUCUCGCUAAUAAGCUUUAUCUUUGCAGCCAAAUCUUCUUUAACAAUAACUGUCUUAUUUUCAAUGUGGAUAUGCAUAAUCACAUCUAUCAUUGUUGAGGUCUCUUUAACUUGAUUUUGCUGCACAAACCCGAUUAUACUAUUUGGACUUGAUGCUUAAAUCAAGAGUAAAUUGUAUCUCUUCUUUAAAAAUCUCAUAUAGAUCAAUAAUCUCAUUAUCGUCUACAUUCAUCGCCGUAAAAAGAGAUGGUUCGACAUUAUUACAAAAUGGUCUUCCAUCAAUUGUCUCAUAUCAAACCAUUUUCUAAUUUCAUUUUACCCUUGUCAAAUCCUUAACUCUUGUAGUUGUUCCCACCAAUCUAAAGCAUCACCUGUCAACUUAAAUGAUGCAUGAGAGAUAGCAACUUUUGAUAAGAGAGUUUGAGUUUGAAGAGGAUCAUCCAUCAUGCAAAUUCAAUAUAAAAUAUCAUUAUGAUUGUCAUCAAAAUCUGAGAUAUCUUUAAACUCAAGGAGACAAUAUGAACCUUGCUCUAUCUUUAUCAAUUUUUUCUCAAAUUAAAAUUACAUCCAAUGGCAAAACUAUAAAAAAAACCUGACUUUCAAGGUUUGGCGCUACCUAUAGCCUGGUGGCCGUGAUUUGGAGUAGAGAUGGUUAGAUCUAGAAGCUAUGAUAGUAAAGAGCACGAUGAUAACUAUAGAUUGGUCAGACUUGCACUGGUUUGUCGUGAAAUCCGACCUGAACUGGCGACUGUCUAUGGUGAUGUGGAUUACGAUUUUAGCGUUGUUAUGCAAUGGUUCUCGGUUAAUGCUGGACAAUGGCAUUGAAAAAUAUUUUGGCGACUUAAGGGGAGCCAGACAGAGGUGACAAUCGACGAAAAGGGUGGUGGUUUCACGACGGCAAGUUGGUGGAGUGCUUGCCAGUUGGGGUGAUUUGUAACAAUUACAAGUAGCGGUUAAGGGCGAGGUUGGUUGGGGUUUGGUCGGUAAUGGGCUGACGACUCUGAUGGUUGCAGUGCUUGGCGGUGAUGGUUGCAAGAUUGUGAAGAUAGUGGUGGCGGCGGCGUUGUUUUUCAAUCUUGGUUUUUUAUUUUUUAUUUUUUUAUAGUGAUGGAUUCGAUGAGGAUGAAUAUAGGAAGCAGGAAAAGCUUUGCUACUGAUAGAGAAUUGCUUUGAUAGCAAUUGACAGAGCGAGAUAGCAGAAGUAGCUUAAUAAUAUAGAUAAACAUUAGAUAUAGUUUUAGUAUCGAACCAAGCCAAUGUGAUUAUGCUAUGUUCUAAUUAAAGCAUAAUUAGAUCUCGUUCUAAUCCAAAUGACUUAAUGAGAUUUUAACAACACUUUUCAAGUUUAGACGAUGUUUUAAUAUAUCUAAACAACUCUACAAGAGAGAUUUUGAUAGCUAAUUCCAAAAGAAUUAUAAAAAAGAGUUUUUUUUAAUUAAUUAAAAGAUUAUAAAAACAAUAACAAGAUCUCCCUAUUUAUAGUAAACAUAUCUACGCAAGUUAACUUAAAAAAUAUAAUUAAAUCACAAUUAUAAUGAAAAUAAAAGAAUAAAAUAUAUAUCAUAAUUGACUUUAAAUAAAAAUAGAGAGAAUGAAAAUACCUAAAAUAAUAAAAUUUUAAAAUCUUAAAAUAAUGUCCUACUUCAUCAUGUGUCAAUACUAUUUUAUUAGUAUGAUUAUUAAUCUUUAAUUAAACUAACAUAAAGUCUUUAUGGCACAAUACUUGUAUAAAUUAUUGGACUAUCAAAUUUAUGUAAUGUACAUGUAGGGUAUUGAAAAUUAUUAGAUUUUAUUUAAAACAUUAGUUACAAGUAAAAAAAUUAAAUACCUAAAUUAUUAUAUACAAGAACACAUUUAUUGGGUAAUUUGUUUAUUGUAUGUCAUAAGGGUAUUAAGACUUAUGUUAAUGUAACUUAAAUGAUCAAAGAAACCUAAACAAGAAAAUAGUUAUAAAAAUGAUUUAAUUGAUUAGUUAUAAAAAAUUUAUUGUUGAUUCAUAUUUAUUAGAAAGUGAUAUAAGCUUAUUAUAAAUGUGCUCUGGAACUGGGGUGCGUUUACAUGGAUAGUAAGGUGAAAAUAUUCCCACAGCCCCACCAAUUACUUCCCCUUAAUUCACCUGGUUGACAAAAAAAAAAAAUUAUUUAAAUUACGACAAAUAUAACAUAUUUAUAUUAAAAUAAAUAUCAAGUUAAUAUAUUAUAAUUAAUCAAAUAUUUAAACGUGUAAUAAAUAGGCUAGCGUAUUGGAAUAAAACUUUAAACUUAAACCCGACAAGAUUAGGAAAUGAACUUACUGGCUCGUGUUGUGUUCACAUUGGAUUCUCAUAUCGCUGACCCUUUCCCCACACGCAUUCGUUCAACGUACUUUUUCGCAAUUAUUGACGUUGUUUUUUUCGUAGACUAAUAAGUUAAGAACGUGUUUGAUUGAAAAUGGUUACCAGUCACGUCUUAUCAAAUAAAGGGGAGUUACGUGCCGCUGUAUUUUUGCCCGUGACUUGAAAUUUGGUAUAAUGGUAACAAAAAUAUUGUUAUAUUUUUAUUCGGAUGUGACAUUGUUUUUAUCAUUAUGGCAUGCAUCUUUUUCUUAAGAUUCUUUAUCAUUUUCUAGGAGCUGUAAUAUUCCUCGGAACCAUAGAACCAUACGUAAUUGCAUACUUGCGUCUGUAAUUAAGAACACCUACCCAGAGAUUUGUUCCCUUCAAUUCAUUGGUACAACAAUUUCUCUCAAGUUAAUUAUAAUCAUGAUGGGGCUCUUAAUUCACAAUUGAUUGAAUUGGUCUGAUGAUUGUUUCAUAUGGCAAAAAGUAAAGCUCAAAUCAAACGUAACUUGGAGAAAAUCAAAGACUUCAUCAUUUUCAUGUUUUUAUUGGGUCUCAUAGUUUUUCCUUGUUGGAAAUUUCGAACGUGAAAAGAAGUUUAAAACUUUUAUUAGUUUAUACAUGAACUGAUAGUCAUGGCCGAGAUAAAUCUGAAUUUCCAUUUUUAUUAUGGAUAAUUGGAUAUGGAUACAGGUGGGAUGAAUCAUCCAACCCAUAUAUGCCCCGUUGCUACAACAACUAACCAAUAACAACAAUUGCUUGAUUAAUGUUUUGUUUGAAGACUUCAAUCAAUUUUGAUUCAACCGAGAUCAUAACUUUGUCAACAAUCCGUUGGUGUGAUAUGAUGAUGAUGAUUAUUAUUAUUAUUAUUGUGUAAUUGCUUUUUUUUUAUAUAAUUAUUUUGUAAUUGUUAGAAAGAAAGAAAAAGAAAAUUCUUUGAAGUGAUAUUUGUUGAAGUUUUCGUUUUUCAAUUUCUUGCAUAUUUAAUGAUUUAAAUGAUGUGGGAAUUUCCUCAAGCAAAAAAAAAAAAAAAAAAUUAAUAAAAGAUGUGUGAGAUAUUCUACAGAGUAUUGAUCAAGUGUGCGAUUAGAGGCGUGAUUACACGUGUGUGAGGAUAUAAAAUGUGGAGCUGCUGAGUGCUGACCCUACGAGUUCGUUAUUUGAGAUCUUGACAUGCAUGCAGUCGCACUUGAUAAAAUGCGUGAGUGUUUGCACCUGAUUAAGAUUGAUAUUCAAUGUGACAAUCAGCACAAAGAAAAAUUGACAUGCCACGUAUUUGUAAUUAAAUUCCCUUAGAUAUUCUUCUGUGAAUGUGUGACAUGUCAAACACGGAAUUUUGAAUGUUUUUAUUGUAUUGUUGAUGAGUUCUACUUUUUCUACUUGAAAAUUAAACGGCCUUCAAACAUUCAACAAGUUUUUAUUUAAUCUACUUUGUAUUUAAAAAAAAAAAAUCAACUUUGUAUUAAUCUUUGGUUAAACUACACAAAACCUGCUUUAAACAGUUCACUUGAAAUGCUUUCUUGAGAAGCAUCUAAUAAAUACUCUUAUCCAAAAAGAAAUUUUGGAGAUACAAAUAAGAAAAGCACUUAAAAAUUUGAUGCUUUUAGAGAGAGCAUGAUGUAGGACGUUGUUUUAGGAAUUUUAAGAUUCUAGAAUUUUAUUAUUUUAGGACUUUGUAUUUUAAUUAGAGUCAAUUAUGGUAUUUUAUUAUUUUAGAACUUUUUAUUUUCUUUAGAGCCAAUUAUAUGAUAUUUAGUUAACUUAGGGAAAUAUCUUUUAUUUUUAUUAUAAAUGUGAUUUAAUUUCCCAUUUUUAAGUUAACUUAGGGAAAAUAUAUUUUAUUUCUAUUAUAAUUGUGAGUUAGUUUUCCUUUUUAUGUCAAUUUAGGGAAGUGGGUUUCCUCUAUUAUAAAUAGAGAGGUAUUAUCACUGUUUUAAGAACUUUUUUUUUUAGAUUCAAUUAUUCCAUAAACUUUUAUUUAGAAAUUUGUUUUCUCUAUCUUCUUUACAAUUCUGCUUCGUCACAUCAUAAAUUGAAAUUAAUGUUUUUCCCAUGACUUCUGCCCUUAACAACUCUAACUAGUAGUAAGAAAUUUGAUUGUACAACUUCAUUUAGAAGGGGUAAUUUUAAAUUACCUCUCAUGAAAUGAUAAUGUUUAAAAUGCUCUUAAAUUAUUAUAAAUAUCAAUUUAUCUCCAAUUUUGUUAAGAAGACAAAUAAAUUUUCAUCGACCCAUUCCUAUUUUUUCUUUAUCUUUUGAACAAAAUGAAAAAAAAUUAAAGUUUACAAUAAUUUGAAUAGUUUUCUGGUCAUUCAAUGCGGAGGGUAAUGUGAAAUUUACCGUUUCUAGAAUUAAUUUGAGUGAAAAGUUGUGUCAGUAUUGGUUCACUUCAAUGGUGGUUGAUAUGUAAACAAACUGUUGGCUACCAGCAACCAGCAAUUUUUUUUUUUUCUACAAAAGGGCUCUAAAAAGAGCUAAGGAAAAACAAAACGUCGGUAAGCUACCCCAUACAUGUCAUGCUGAAGGUAAGCAAUGAUACCAGGAGGAGAAUUUGGGAACAAAUGAAGACCCAAAGGAAAAGAUAGGCCAUGAUUUGCUAAGAAGUCCGCUGCAAAAUUAGCCUCCCUGUAAACAUGAUUAAUGGUAAUGCGCCAGCUGCGACUAAUGAGAUCUUUAAUUGACUUAAUCAAAGGAGAGAGCUCAUUAGAUGUGAUCAUAGGAGUGGUGACUAGGUGGAGAAUACAGAUGCUGUCAACUUCAACUUGUAACCAUCGGAUCCCAUUUUGCCAAGCAAUAUUUAAACCUUGAUAUAGGCCCCAAAGCUCAGCUACUGUAACCGAGCACGAUCCAAUAUUCAUUCCAAAGAGGGCCAGCCAAGCCCCAUUAUGAUCUCUGAUAAGACCGCCUGCACUUGCUUCCCCUGUCUUUUUCGCAGCACCAUCAGUAUUUAACUUACACCAAGGCCAGAAUGGAGGAGACCAACAUAUCCACUUCACAACCCGGCCAUUAUUCAUGCCCAUCGGUGUGGUACUAAUCCGUUGAAAUUCUGUAGCUUUUAUCUUGACUUCAGAUAUCAUAGUAGCACAAUCCCAAGUCAUGCCAUGAAAUAAAAAUUUAUUACGCCAAGACCAGAGACGCCAUAUAGCUACCCCAAAGAAAAUAUUCCAACUGAGAUCUGAUCCAACCUGGUCCGCGUUCGUCAAGUUAUAGCUCAUCCAGUCUUUCAAGUUCAGAGAGAAAAAAUAUUGACGUUGAUGUAUCGGGAGGAUGGCGUACCAAAAUCUCCUAGCUACCAUGCAGUCCCGUAACACAUGCAAAGUAUUCUCAUCUCCAUCACCGCAACGAUCACAACUGCUAUCUAAGUGAACAUGUCUUCUUGAAAUCUCAGCUUUUGUUUUCAAUCUAUUAUGCAACACCAACCAAAGGAAAACACGAAUACUUUGAGGACCAUUCCAACGCCAUACACAGCUCCAUAUUUGAUCAUCCUCUCCCUUAAUCUCUUUGGAAAGAGCAUCAUAUGCUGAUUUUACAGUGAAAUUUCCUUUUUUAGAUUCAGACCAAAAAAUCUGAUCUUCUCCAUAGCCUUCCAUUGGUGGUCGAAAUGAGGCAAUUCGGAGAAAUAUUGUUGGGGAUGAGGCAGCCACCAGAAAUUUGAUAGUAUUAUAAACUCCCAUUUCAAAAUUGCAAUAGUCCUGAAACCACAACGCCACUAUACGAAACUGAGCCUUAGAAGUUAUAUGCUGAAUGUCUUUAACAUUUAUGUUGAGAAAGAAGAAAAGAAGACAGAAUGAGAAGAAAAUAUACACACAGCAUUCAAGCAUAAUUCUCUAAUCUGAGUUACUACAAUAAUCAGUCGGAAUCCACACUGAACGGAUAGAGGUCAACUCCAGACGUCGAAGAACCUGUAGGUGGCCCAUAAAUUGACGACUUGCUUGGUAUAGUACUUGCAGUUUUUUCUAUGCUGAAUUGGUAAUAUCUCCUCAUUGCUUCUGAUUUGGUUUCAUCAAUGUCUGAGACAUUUGAAUCUGGAGCUAAAUCUGGAACAUCAACACCGCAUUCGAGCAUGCUUAAGACCGAAGACAUCGAAGGCCUAUUCGUAGGAGAAGCAUUGGCACACAGCAGAGCUACAUUGAUCAUCACCAUCACUUGUUCUUUGUCAAAAUUUGAACCAAGAUCUGUAUCAACUAGCUCCAUUAAAUUUCCUUGCUCUUUCAAUACAAGCGCCUGAUUGAAAAGAAGUUGAAACAACAUAUAUUUGGUUGGUGAUAAAUUCAAGAUGAAACAAUGCAAAACGAGAGAUUGUAGGAGCCUAAAUGUUACCCAAUCCAGAAGAUAAAUUUUAUCCUCCUUUGUCCUUGAAAAAACGUUGCUUCUACCGCUGACAAUUUCCAAGGCAACAAUUCCGAAACUAUAGACAUCUGCUUUCUCUGUUAAAUGGCCCCGUGUUGCAUAUUCUGGUGCCAUAUAUCCACUGCAAGGUCGUGAAUUUGAAUAUUAAAUUGAUAAUGUAUGAGAAGGAAAGUGGAAAACAUUGAUGAGAAAUUAGUAUGCAGCGACUCACAUUGUUCCGGCAACUCGGGUGCUUAUGUGGUGUUAUCUUCUUCAUCCAGCUUGGCUAAACCAAAAUCAGAUAUUUUAGGGUUUAAGUCCUUAUCAAGAAGCACAUUGGUUGCUUUGAUGUCUCUAUGCACAAUCUUUAUCCUUGAUUCUCCAUGUAGAUAAGCUAAACCUCUCGCUAUACCGAGGCAAAUCCUGCGCCUUGUUGGCCAAUCCAACUUCAACCGAUGCUCUUCAGGACCUUCAAAUCAUUCAAGAAAGACGAUACAUGACUAGAAUCUAAUACCACAUAUGUAUGUAUGUGUGAUUUAUGUGCAAACCGAUACUGUGUAGUUGAAAUAUAUACCAAACAUGGCUCGAGCAAGGCUGUUGUUUUCCAGGUACUCAUAAAUAAGCGACAAUUGAUUUCCUUCCAUGCAACAUCCAUAAAGCUUUACAAGAUUAGGGUGUUGCAAAGCAGAAAUCAUGCCAAUCUCAUUAAUGAAUUCUCGAUUUCCUUGCUUUGAUUUGGAAGAAAGUUGCUUGACUGCAAUCGCUGUGCCAUCUGCCAAAAGUCCCUGCAUUUUUAAGAAAUGCAGUCAGAUUUGAAAAACAAAAAGGAAUUGUUUCGAGCAAAACACACCUUGUAAACAGGGCCAAAACCGCCUUCUCCAAUCUUGUUAUCAGGAGCAAAGUUGUUUGUGGCAGCUUUAAUUUGCUUCAAUGUAAAAGAAGCAGUAUGCAAGUCUACACCCCGCAGCUCUGUGGAAGAAAUUACUGGGUUAAUAAAAAUGAAACAUAAGCAUAACAAAAUGAUCCGUAAAAUCAAGAUAUCGUUAUUUUCAUAAUCUUUUAAAGACUUGAAUUAGAGAAUUAUUUAUUUGUAAGAAAUAUUUGUUAAUUAAUCAGUGCACUACCUCGUUCCAGAGUAUUUUCUGGUCUAAAACAGCCCUUCCACUGAAGGAUACCCACCACAACUAGGAUUAUCAAAAAUGCUGCAGCCACUGCGAUUCCAAAUGCUUUGCCUACUGAUAUACUACUGCUUCCAUCUUCUGAUAUACUACUGCUUCCAUCUUCUGACGGGGGUGUGAAAUCUGCUUCACAUAGAAAGUUACACAUCUCUCCAAUGUGAGGGUUAUCUAAUUGAAAAUCACUUAAAUACAAGGAAUUCCCGUAGAAAUAACCUUUGGGAAUUUGUAAAAUCUAAGGCACUUAAGAAAUGGGAAAGUAUCAAAUUAGAUGAGAGAAGCCUUGAGUUAGUAUUAAACCUACCAGGAUUGAGAGAAAUUGCUGAUAUGAGGGGACCAUAAUCUCCUUUAAAAGGAAUUUCAGUUGUCCCUUUCCCAGCCCAAUAUAGACGGAUCUCCAUGGUCCCGUUGGUCACGGCCGCAGAAAAUGGUUUUACAAUUGCUUUACCAACGCCGCCAGCUUCAUUCUCAAUGUUCAAAUCCUUCAGCACAAGAUUCCCCUGGAACCAUAUUUCCAAUUAACUUAAAUUUUUAUGCAAGUUAAAGUAAAAUCCAAGAUGGAGAAUAUCUAUUACAUUCUUUUUUUAUUUAAAGAAGUUUUUGUGAAAUCCAAAAGCGAAUCCAUGAGAGUAAUUAUGUGUGCAUUAAGGUCAACCCGACUACAUCUAACAAGCUUGUUGGACUCAAGCUGUUAUGUAACAGCUUUCUGAAUCCCAACCGAAAUUAAAAUCUACAUGAGGAUACACUGGAAACGAUUUGCUAGCUCAAUAUUCAAGAAAAGAUUUAGAAUCAACCAUGAUUGGUGGUGCUGAGGUAGUAUUAAAUAUUAGUCACCUGAAUGUAAACAUCAAAUAUGCGCUUUCCAAAACUGCUAAAAUUUUUGUCAUCAGUGAACAGUAUCUCUGCAAAGUGAAGUUUGACUGUGUAGUUUCCAUUCCCCAGACAGAAUCCAUAGUAGGUUAGAGAUAUGGCAGAAAGGCGGGCGUUUGUGUAUAAUUGAGAAUCGCUCAUCAAAAGUCUAGACGUAUUUGUCUGAAUAUAAGUGUCUGUUUUGAUACUAUUAUCCAAGAAGUGACCAGUGCUGCUUAGCCCCCAAUUUGUUCUACUUAGAGUAAAUGUUGAAGGCCCUGCCUCAUACGUAUCCUCUUCAAAUGCUGUAUCUCCAUUGGCAGUCACUUCACUCCCGCCACAGUUUAUAUGAAGCGAGUAGUAGUAAGCUAGAACAAAAACAACAGUGAGCAUCCAGUGUACAAGUAAAAACUUUUAAAAGCCAAGUAACAACCAAUGAAUUUUAGCAGCAGAUGACUUAGCGUAGUAUUGUUGUCCAAGGUAGUCAAAGUUUUGGGUUUGAAGGAAUUACCUCAAAUUAGAAGCUAAUAUAAAAAAAUGCGACAAACAUUUAGUAUGCUAAAUAAGAUAGGAGCUGCGGGAAAUUAACUGGUCUUUUCCAUGUUUUUGUCAAUUAUAAGAUUUUUUUCAUCAGGAAAAUUCAAUGUAUUUAUGAAAGAAUAUUUCAGAUCAUGACUUACUUUUUGGGCAUUGGACGCUUCUCAAGCAUGAUACAAUUCCGGUGCUGGAAAGAUGUAACGUAAAGGUCAGCAUCAUAACAGCAUAACAUAUAAUCGAAUUUUGAUAAACUCGCCAGAGCAAUAUAUAUCCAGACAAUGCCAAUACCCAAUUAACUUAAAACCAAAAAGCUUCUAUUAUGCAUUUCAAUAUGUUAUAACUAGAUAGUGAAUUGAAAACUUACGAGUUAUUGCCCUUUGAGAAGCUGGCAAACAAGUUCCUAGAGAAUUGCACAAAGUAUAAAGCUUAGUCAGUGUAUUGAAGAUAGUUUAUUGAUGGAGGUGCUUAAAAGCUUCAAUUAAUAGUAUUCUUACACGCUUCGCUUUUGGCAGCUCGACUCUGCGCUUCCAUCAGUGAAAUUAUUAUAUGAAAGAUCUCUGCAAACAGUGUUUUAUGUGACUCAUCGUCUUCCAGAAUGCAAAAAAUUGCACCAAGAGUGCGAAGGGGAAGCUUACAUUUUGUCUCCUUUUUCAAGCAUCCAAGGAGGUAUCGCUCCAGUUAGCAAAUUUCCGGUGAAGUAUCUAUAGCAAAUUAUAAUAACAAAGCAGUAAAAGAUGUCAAACAACCCACGCUUAGAAGAGGGAAAUUUGCAGUAAGAAAAUAAAAUGCUUACAUGUAAUCCACUUCGUAUAGAUCAUCGAAGUUGCUUGGAAUAUGUCCGCUUAGUUUAUUAAAGCUGAGAUCCCUGAAAGAAAAUUCAUAAAAGAAUCAUAAAUUAACUGAAAUUUCCCCGUAUGUAUACCUGCAGAUAAUAAAGAACGUUUGCACUAACAAGACUUUCAAUGUUGUCAUUUUCCCAAGAUAAGGAGGCAGCUCUCCUGUGAUAUUACAAUUCCUCAAUAUCCUGCCAUGACAGGAUCAAACAUUAAGAGAUCUUUCAACAAGCCAAAAGAUGAACAAAAUUUCUAUGAAUUGGAUACUUACAAGUUCGUCAUCUUCUUAUUACCAAGUUGGGGAAAAGUUGCUUCAGGUCCAUUCAGGUCACUAAUUCUCCUGCAUCGUGAAAUUCAACAAAAACCAAUAAGCCUAGUAUCAGUCAAAUACAUUAUGCACAUGAGUAACAAAAAUAGAAAAACCAUACAUACAAGUCAGUUAAAUUUUUCAGAGAAAAAAUGCCAGAAGGAAUUGGCCCAACCAAACCGCUUGGCUGAAUGAAUCUGUUGAUACAUGUAAUAUUUAUUUCAUUAGUCACCAUACGCAUAAUUUAUUGUUAAUAAAAUAAUGAAUUAAGGGAAAAAAAAAACUAGCUCUUACAGUUUUUCAAGCUUUGUCCAGUUCUGAAUAAAACUAGGUAUUUGUCCUGUGAAUUGGUUAUCACCAAUUCGACUGCAUCAUUUGGGAUAACAAAAGAAAACAUAAAUAAAUUAAUGACCAUUUACUGUUUUAAACACACGCAAGAUGCUAAAUUGUUCAAGAAGCAGCAUAGCUGAGAUUAGCACUGAAUCCAAAUUCAAGAAAGAAGACUGUGAAAGAGUACGAAAAAUCAAAAGCUUACAAAUCCUUCAUAUUGGUCAACUUAGCAAAUGUUUUAGGCAACUCCCCAGUAAAAUUAUUUGAACUAAGAUGUCUGUAACAAGAGCAAUAACGAGCCGAGUUAUCAAUCUAAUAAAUGUAAGUUUUUUCUUCAGGAUUUUGAUUUGGAAUAAAAGGGUCAUACAAGUUUAUAUGAAUCUCGUAUCCCUUACAGUUUUUUCAAGAUUGAGUAGACUACCAAGCUCCUCAGGCAGUUCUCCUGAAAACUGAUUGUAUUGGACGGUCCUAUUCAUUUUACCGAACAUAAAAGAAUCAAUUAAAACAAGAUUAAUAUUUUUCUAAAAUCGAAAGGGGAAAAAGAGAUACGAAAAUAAAAACUCACAGAUUGACAAGUGUGGAAAUAUUUGCUAAAUAUUUUGGGAUUGGACCCGUUAGCCGGUUUGCUAGGAGGGAACUGAAACAAGAAUCCCAUAUGUGUUAGUUUAAAUGUAAAAUAUCUUCUGUUCAUCUAAAUUAAAAAUGAACAUCACGUUUACAUUCAUGAAGCAAGAUAACCAGAAAUUGAGCUACGAAUUGAAGGAAUUUGCAGGUGGGAUGAGUGAGACAUUAACUCUGAUACUAUAUUUUAAAAAUUAUUUAAUUUAAAAGAUUUAGUUGAUAAGUAAGGGUUUAAAAAAAUAUUAAAGGUUGAUCUCAAAUUCUUUAUUAUAUAUGUUAUCAAUCUCCCGUAGUUACUUAUAUAUGAUUUAGCAAAAAAUAGACAGCUGCAAAGUUAUAUUCUUUGUAACUUACAGUUGACCCAAAAUUAGUUUCUCAAGACCCGUAAGAGUUUGACAACAAACUUUACAUUUUGAAUAAUAACUGAUUUUGAAUUGACGUAAGUUAGAAAUGAAAUGACUUAUUAGUAAGACCAACCAAAAAACCGUCCGCAUUAGAGAAUUUUCAUAAGUACACUACAUAAUAUAGUAAAGAAAAAGUAUGACAUACAUAUUAAGAAGUGGCAGAGAGGCCCAUUCUGAAGGGAUAGUGCCACUAAGGUAGUUGCGAGGGAGACUACUGUUCAUGUCAGACAGUUAAUUAAUUUCGUUAAUUAUAUAUGUAACAAAAUGAACAUAUGUAAAUGUCUAAUGGGAAAAUUUACAGUUAAUGAAGGGUAAAAUUGGAAUGGCGAAGUGCUUACAUAUCUUGGAGGAAAGUCAGUUCGGCCAAUUUUGGUGGGAGAACUCCUGUGAGAUUCUGCUCCUUCAGAACUCUGUUUGAGAUGAAAAGUAUGAGACUUGAUUUAUUACUUAAAAAAGGAAAAAAAAAAAAAAGGCAAGUGAAUAAUAUAGAUAAACAAACAAAUAAUGCAGGGGCGUUUGGUUACUUUGAUUUGGUACCGUUUUUGGUUUACCGUUUUCUGUUUUCCAGAAAUGAAAAAUAAGAAACGUGUUUAGUGGCACCAUUUCUCAGCCUGUUUUUUUAUCAGACUGAAAAUGAGUACAACUCAUUUUUCACCAUCAUCAAAGGAAAAGAGAAAAAUGAUAAAAUAUUUGUUUGCAUAGAUAUCGCAUAAUUCUUCUUUCGAGAUUCGGCCACACAUCUGAAAACAAACAAUUGUGUACGAUCAAACAAUUUGCCGCCCCCCCCCCCCCCCCCCGGAACUAAAAAAAGAAGAGUUNNNNNNNNNNNNNNNNNNNNNNNNNNNNNNNNNNNNNNNNNNNNNNNNNNNNNNNNNNNNNNNNNNNNNNNNNNNNNNNNNNNNNNNNNNNNNNNNNNNNAAAUUUUUUACAUGGUUCGACAAAUUAUCUUCUGUGCUGUGUCCUGGCUUCUAAAAAAAAAAAAAAAAAAAAUGUAAAAAAGCUCACUCUACUAUUUUAAAACGUUGUGGUUUAAUAGGGUGUAUAUGUCGUUUUUUCUAUUAUUAAUUACUGUUUACAAAAAAAUUUAUGUUUAAUAUUGAGCCGAUCUGUACUCAACUCUUCAUACGUACAGAAUAUAUGAUUAAAAUGUAAUUAGUUUUAUAUUCUUGUCUAACUAUUAAUUGUGUAUUACUGAAUCUAAAUCCACGCAAAAAGCUUUAUGAGAUAGAGAUAGGGACAUAUAAAUGUACGUACAUACGGAAAACAUGGCAAACGGUGCCGUUAGAGAAGGAGCAAUUGCAGGUGACAGCAUU
This 17050-nucleotide long non-coding RNA is filed under the name Citrus x clementina. RNAcentral describes it as "Citrus clementina (C. clementina) long non-coding RNA (CCLE_LNC004392)". The record is from RNAcentral. Lineage: Eukaryota; Viridiplantae; Streptophyta; Magnoliopsida; Sapindales; Rutaceae.